UCUCAAGCUGCUCCUAAGACCAAGAACCUGGCUUCUCUCUGAUACCCAAUGCGCAAGUCAGUGGCAUCACAUCCGGGCCACCUGGCGCUUCUAUGAAAGGACAAGAAUGAACAUAAUGAGAAUGGGCCAUCUACAAGCUGGGAAUAAGAAACUGACCCUCCAGUCCUUUAUCUGUGACUUUUAGUCUCCAAAACUGUGAAAAAAAAUAAUUUCUGUUGUUUCAGCUAAAUAAUCCAUGCCAUUUUGUUAUGGAAGCCAAAGCUGACUAAAACAUAACCACAGGUUAUAAAACUUUUCUUCUGUUUUCUCCUAGAAAAAAAGUAUUUUUGACAUUUAGGGCUAUGAUUCAUUUUGAGUUACAUUUUUGUAUGGGGCAAGGUAUGUGCAAUGGUUAGUUUUAUGUGUUAGCUUUUCUAGGCUAUAGUACUCAGUUGUGUGGUCAAACACUAGCCUAGCUGUUGCUGUGAAGGUAUUUUGUACAUGUGAUCAACAUUUACAAUCGAUUUUAAGUAAAGCAGUUUACCUCCAUAACGUGGGUGCGCCUCAUCCAAUCAGUUGAAGGUCUUAAAAGACCGAGGUUUCCUGGAGAAGGAAUUCUACCACAAGAUUGGAACGUAAAAACGCUGUGUCAGUUUCUAGCCUGCUGCCCUGUCCUACAGAUUUUGGAUGUAUCAGACCUCAUAGUCACCUGAGACAAUUCCUUAAAAUAUCUUUCUUUCUCUCUCUCCCUUUAUAGAUAGAUAGAUAGAGUAUGGAUUGAAAUUUAGUUUUGCAUAUGGAUAUCCAAUUGUUUCAGAUCAAAUUGUUGAAUAUACUAUCAUUUCUUUCCUCUAAUCUUCAUUUGCAUCUUUAUCAAUAAUUAGUUGUCUAUAUAUACAUAUACAUGUGGAUCCACUCCUGGACUUUAUUCUCUUCCAUUGAUAUACUGCUAUAAUUAUGACAGUUCCACACUAUACUGAUCAUUGCGAGUUUAUAAGCCUUGAAAUGAAGUAGGGUAACUCCCCCAACUUUGUUCUAUUUUUUAGUUUUCUUUGACUAUUCUAGGGCCUUUGCACAUCUAUAUGAAUGUUAGAGUCAGUCUCUCAAUUUAUAUUUUAAAAAUCCUGGAAUUUUGAUUUUUAUUGCAUUGAAUAUGUCAAAAACUUUGAGGGCAA
Molecule: long non-coding RNA, 1154 nt
Filed under: Homo sapiens (human)
Lineage: Eukaryota; Metazoa; Chordata; Mammalia; Primates; Hominidae
Description: HSALNT0287447
Source: RNAcentral